RNAcentral lists this ribosomal RNA (2804 nucleotides) under Acinetobacter baumannii 18689. RNAcentral's name for it is "bacterial LSU rRNA". It matches the Rfam family "Bacterial large subunit ribosomal RNA". The record is from RNAcentral. Lineage: Bacteria; Pseudomonadati; Pseudomonadota; Gammaproteobacteria; Moraxellales; Moraxellaceae.
GCAAAUAUCCUUUGAUCCGGAGAUGUCUGAAUGGGGGAACCCACCUACUUUAAGGUAGGUAUUGCAACAUGAAUACAUAGUGUUGCAAGGCGAACGAGGGGAAGUGAAACAUCUCAGUACCCUUAGGAAAAGAAAUCAAUUGAGAUUCCCUCAGUAGCGGCGAGCGAACGGGGAUCAGCCCAUUAAGUUAUGUGUGUUUUAGUGGAACGCUCUGGGAAGUGCGAACGUAGAGGGUGAUAUUCCCGUACACGAAAGGGCACACAUAAUGAUGACGAGUAGGGCGAGGCACGUGAAACCUUGUCUGAAUAUGGGGGGACCAUCCUCCAAGGCUAAAUACUCCUGACUGACCGAUAGUGAACCAGUACCGUGAGGGAAAGGCGAAAAGAACCCCUGUGAGGGGAGUGAAAUAGAUCCUGAAACCGCAUGCAUACAAGCAGUGGGAGCACCUUCGUGGUGUGACUGCGUACCUUUUGUAUAAUGGGUCAGCGACUUAUAUUCAGUAGCGAGGUUAACCGUAUAGGGGAGCCGUAGAGAAAUCGAGUCUUAAUAGGGCGUUUAGUUGCUGGGUAUAGACCCGAAACCAGGCGAUCUAUCCAUGAGCAGGUUGAAGGUUGGGUAACACUAACUGGAGGACCGAACCCACUGUCGUUGAAAAGCCAGGGGAUGACUUGUGGAUAGGGGUGAAAGGCUAAUCAAGCCUGGUGAUAGCUGGUUCUCCCCGAAAGCUAUUUAGGUAGCGCCUCGGACGAAUACCAUAGGGGGUAGAGCACUGUUUCGGCUAGGGGGUCAUCCCGACUUACCAAACCGAUGCAAACUCCGAAUACCUAUGAGUACUAUCCGGGAGACAGACUGCGGGUGCUAACGUCCGUAGUCAAGAGGAAAACAAUCCAGACCGCCAGCUAAGGCCCCAAAAUCAUAGUUAAGUGGGAAACGAUGUGGGAAGGCAUAGACAGCUAGGAGGUUGGCUUAGAAGCAGCCACCCUUUAAAGAAAGCGUAAUAGCUCACUAGUCGAGUCGGCCUGCGCGGAAGAUGUAACGGGGCUAAAACUAUGUGCCGAAGCUGCGGAUGUAUACUUUGUAUACGUGGUAGGGGAGCGUUCUGUAAGCCGAUGAAGGUGUGUUGAGAAGCAUGCUGGAGGUAUCAGAAGUGCGAAUGCUGACGUGAGUAACGACAAAACGGGUGAAAAACCCGUUCGCCGAAAGACCAAGGGUUCCAGUCCAACGUUAAUCGGGGCUGGGUGAGUCGACCCCUAAGGCGAGGCCGAAAGGCGUAGUCGAUGGGAAAAUGGUUAAUAUUCCAUUACUUCUGUGUAAUGCGAUGAGAGGACGGAGAAGGCUAAAUCAGCCUGGCGUUGGUUGUCCAGGUGAAAGGAUGUAGGCAUGUAUCUUAGGCAAAUCCGGGGUACUCUAUGCUGAGAUCUGAUAGCAAGCUGUACUUGUACAGCGAAGUGGUUGAUGCCAUGCUUCCAGGAAAAGUCUCUAAGCUUCAGUUACACAGGAAUCGUACCCGAAACCGACACAGGUGGUCAGGUCGAGUAGACCAAGGCGCUUGAGAGAACUCUGCUGAAGGAACUAGGCAAAAUGGUACCGUAACUUCGGGAGAAGGUACGCUGUUGUUGGUGAUGGAACUCGCUUCCUGAGCUGACGACAGCCGCAGAAACCAGGCCGCUGCAACUGUUUAUUAAAAACAUAGCACUCUGCAAACACGAAAGUGGACGUAUAGGGUGUGAUGCCUGCCCGGUGCUGGAAGGUUAAUUGAUGGGGUUAGCGUAAGCGAAGCUCUUGAUCGAAGCCCCAGUAAACGGCGGCCGUAACUAUAACGGUCCUAAGGUAGCGAAAUUCCUUGUCGGGUAAGUUCCGACCUGCACGAAUGGCAUAAUGAUGGCGGCGCUGUCUCCAGCAGAGGCUCAGUGAAAUCGAAAUCGCUGUGAAGAUGCAGUGUACCCGCGGCUAGACGGAAAGACCCCGUGAACCUUUACUGCAGCUUGACACUGAACUUUGACCUUACUUGUGUAGGAUAGGUGGGAGGCUUUGAAGCUGGAACGCUAGUUCCAGUGGAGCCGUCCUUGAAAUACCACCCUGGUAAUGUUGAGGUUCUAACUCUGUCCCGUGAUCCGGGACGAGGACCGUGUCUGGUGGGUAGUUUGACUGGGGCGGUCUCCUCCUAAAGAGUAACGGAGGAGUACGAAGGUGCGCUCAGCGUGGUCGGAAAUCACGCGUAGAGUAUAAAGGCAAAAGCGCGCUUAACUGCGAGACCCACAAGUCGAGCAGGUACGAAAGUAGGUCUUAGUGAUCCGGUGGUUCUGUAUGGAAGGGCCAUCGCUCAACGGAUAAAAGGUACUCUGGGGAUAACAGGCUGAUACCGCCCAAGAGUUCAUAUCGACGGCGGUGUUUGGCACCUCGAUGUCGGCUCAUCUCAUCCUGGGGCUGAAGCAGGUCCCAAGGGUAUGGCUGUUCGCCAUUUAAAGAGGUACGCGAGCUGGGUUUAGAACGUCGUGAGACAGUUCGGUCCCUAUCUACCGUGGGCGCUGGAAAUUUGAGAGGAUCUGCUCCUAGUACGAGAGGACCAGAGUGGACGAACCUCUGGUGUACCGGUUGUGACGCCAGUCGCAUCGCCGGGUAGCUAUGUUCGGAAGGGAUAACCGCUGAAAGCAUCUAAGCGGGAAGCCUACCUCAAGAUAAGAUUUCCCUAGGACUUUAUGUCCUCUAAAGAGCCGUUCGAGACUAGGACGUUGAUAGGUUGGAUGUGGAAGCAUAGUGAUAUGUGAAGCUGACCAAUACUAAUUGCUCGUGAGGCUUGACUA